GGUUGGUCUGAGUGCAGUGGUAUUUACAACUAAUUGAUCACAACCAGUUACAGAUUCUUUUGUCCUGCUUCUCUCCCACUGCUUCACUGGACCAGCCUUAA
This 101-nucleotide Y RNA is filed under the name Microcebus murinus (gray mouse lemur). Its description in RNAcentral is "Y RNA (ENSMICG00000046691.1)". It matches the Rfam family "Y RNA". Rfam says of the family: Y RNAs are components of the Ro ribonucleoprotein particle (Ro RNP), in association with Ro60 and La proteins. The Y RNAs and Ro60 and La proteins are well conserved, but the function of the Ro RNP is not known. In humans the RNA component can be one of four small RNAs -- hY1, hY3, hY4 and hY5. Lineage: Eukaryota; Metazoa; Chordata; Mammalia; Primates; Cheirogaleidae. The record is from Rfam by way of RNAcentral.